Molecule: ribosomal RNA, 433 nt
Filed under: uncultured bacterium
Lineage: Bacteria
Description: partial 16S ribosomal RNA
Rfam family: Bacterial small subunit ribosomal RNA
Source: RNAcentral
AACGAACGCUGGCGGCAUGCCUAACACAUGCAAGUCGAACGAGACCUUCGGGUCUAGUGGCGCACGGGUGCGUAACGCGUGGGAACCUGCCCUUAGGUUCGGAAUAACUCCCCGAAAGGGGUGCUAAUACCGGCUAUUGUCUUCGGACCAAAGAGUUAUCGCCUUUGGAUGGGCCCGCGUUGGAUUAGCUAGUUGGUAGGGUAAAAGCCUACCAAGGCGACGAUCCAUAGCUGGUCAGAGAGGAUGAUCAGCCACACUGGGACUGAGACACGGCCCAGACUCCUACGGGAGGCAGCAGUGGGGAAUAUUGGACAAUGGGCGAGAGUCUAAUCCAGCAAUGCCGUGUGAGGGAUGAAGGCCUUAGGGUUGUAAAGCUAUUUUAACCGGGAUGAUAAUGACAGUACCGGGAGAAUAAGCUCCGGCUAACUCCGUG